AUGAGGCUCCGUCUCACAAGCAGGAAGCCACUUCUACCUCUGACCGUCAGAACUGGUGCCAAGGUUUGGCCCCCUUGGGUACCAAUUGAAGCCCAUAAACUCAUCUGGAGGCCCCAUCAAUCAACUCAUAGAUCACUGUCCUGCCGAAUGUUCAUCUUGAACGUCUUCGGGUCGACUUCAGUUUGGAGAUAUUUCUUCCCAUUGCUGCUGUCCAGUUUCUUCGGCUGGUUGUCCUCACCCAUCUUGUACCAGAAAAUGGAGUAUUUUGAAGUACGCAUGUUGGAUACGUUGCAGGUGAACACCGCGUUUCCCCCCACGGCUGGAUUUAACUGGGCAGCUGAGAAGAUGACUGUCCAAAUAAACCAAAAAAAGGAAGAUGUGUCAUUAGUACGGUAUGUUUUUGUGCGGGUUGGUUGAGGGGUGGCCAGAGGCCCUAUAGGAGUCUUCGUGGCUUGUAAGACUUUCCGAGGACGCCCUGCUCCCGGUCCCAAGGCCAUCCCCGACAUGUUUAACAGAGACAUGAGGCAGAGCCUUUUCGGUGGCUGCUCCCUGGUUGUGAAAUACUCCCCUUCAGGAAGAGAAGGUGCCCCCUGGGUUUGGGAAACUGUAUUUGUGUUUGUGUAUCUCUCAAUGGAAUUCCUCCCAACCCUAAAACAAGCUGGGGGGGGGGGUCAGGGUAAAAUUACUUCUCCAGUCCUCUCUCCAAAGUGCCACCCAUGUUCCAGAUGCUUGGAGCACCAGGUUGAAAAGAGCAAAAUGGAUGCCCCGGGAAGGUCUCUCCUGCUUUAUGCUCUUACAGCUUUCCUUCACUUUGGGGAGCUUAAUCAGAGAUUCUCCCAAUAUUUCGUGAUUCCUGAGAGUUGGGCCAAAAUGAUCAAAUAUGAUCACUCAUUUCAACAAGAGUUGACCCACUGAUGCAGAACUCAGGGAAAUCAAGCCUGAGCGCUCCCUGGAAGGACAGAUCCUGAAGCUGAGGUUCCAAGACUUUGGCCAUCUCAUGAGAAGAGAAGACUCCUUGGAAAAGACCUUGAUGUUGGGAAAAUGUGAGGGCAAGAGGAGAAGGGGACGACAGAGGACGAGAUGGUUACAACAACAACAACAACAACUGAUGCAGUGGGAUUUCCUUGGGUGUUAACUAACCAAUGAGCAAGUUGUUCAAGGGGCUUCAGUCUAUGAAAAUUGGUCAAAACGUCAGACCCCAUGUGUUUUUUUUCCAAUGAAUUUCUGCUAAUGGUGUGUG
This 1240-nucleotide long non-coding RNA is filed under the name Pogona vitticeps (central bearded dragon). RNAcentral's name for it is "lncRNA (ENSPVIG00000005461.1)". The record is from RNAcentral. Lineage: Eukaryota; Metazoa; Chordata; Lepidosauria; Squamata; Agamidae.